This 304-nucleotide ribosomal RNA is filed under the name uncultured bacterium. Its description in RNAcentral is "partial 16S ribosomal RNA". It matches the Rfam family "Bacterial small subunit ribosomal RNA", at positions 506 to 807 of the family's 1533-position model. The record is from RNAcentral.
CAGCAGCAGCCGCGGGAAUACGUAGGUGGCAAGCGUUGUCCGGAAUUAUUGGGCGUAAAGGGCUCGCAGGCGGUUUCUUAAGUCUGAUGUGAAAGCCCCCGGCUCAACCGGGGAGGGUCAUUGGAAACUGGGAAACUUGAGUGCAGAAGAGGAGAGUGGAAUUCCACGUGUAGCGGUGAAAUGCGUAGAGAUGUGGAGGAACACCAGUGGCGAAGGCGACUCUCUGGUCUGUAACUGACGCUGAGGAGCGAAAGCGUGGGGAGCGAACAGGAUUAGAUACCCGCGUAGUCCCUGUCUCUUAUAC